GCUUUUCGUCGAGUCUGCCAUGUUAUGUCCUACUUGUCGCGCUUGAUCAACGCGUUCGCGAUUUCUGUUGUAAACUAUUAUUUUACUGAAUGUAUCACGGGCUGUGUAUUGUUUACAAAUAGUGUAGUUAAUGACUUUAUAAUUACGCGAAUGAAACGUGUUAUCAAUCAAUUACUUUUGAUACUUGUGUAUAAUGGAGUAGUUCGCAUUUCAUCAAAAUUUUAAAUUGUUCACAAGCUUGCUAUUGCACUUACGUCGUGAACACGGAUACUGUCACGACUGUAAUGUAAUUAUAUUAUAAAUACUAAAGUGAUAGUAAGUACUUCGAUCCUGUGAUUCAACCCACGUGCACAUAAUUUAACAAGCAUCUCAUGCACAUUUGUUAUUAUUUUGUUCGCGACUCACGAGUUCGAUUCGAGCCUGUUGGGAUCGGAUCGAAGAAGGGAAAUCGUGUUCUCCGUCUUGCUCCCUCCCGUCGCGUUUCGUUCGGUUGCAUCCAUUCAUUUUCAUAAGCCGAAAUAGAUUUUUUGUCAAGUGUAAUUGUUUUGGUGUAUGAGGAUCUAAGGAGCGGAGGAUAGUGUUGGUGGUGUCGGUGCUGCACACGUGACGGGACGUGUGUUUGGUUGUCCCGUGUCAGUCUGGUAGGGUCCGCGGGCGGGCGCACGCUAUACCGCCAUAGUCCGCUGCAGUGCGGGCGGCCGGGUGAAUCACCGCGCGUUGUCGUGUGCCGUGUUGCCGUGUUGAUCGUGCUUGUUUACUCGCGAGUGCAAGUGCGUGGAGCGGAAGUGCAAAGGCAUGUGCGGCGCGGUUUGGCGCCGAUGACACCGCCGUCCUAGGCGACGGCGUUUUAAGCCAGUGUACGUGUGUUAAUUAUGCCUCUUGGGUUAUGAGUGUGUGACAAAGUUGUAGUGUAUUGAGGACACUGGAGCCCCUAGACGGAGUUGGGCCCGCUGGGGCGGCCCUGGUGCUUCUCGGGGCUCCGCACGAAGGCAAAAUGGCAGCUUGGAACCGCCACCAUCAUUUUAACAUGAUCAUGGAUGAGAAUGCCAAAAACAAAUUGGGCGUGGUCGGCGGCGGUAUACCAGAGACCGCUAGCGGCGAGAGGCGGCACGGGCCCUUGUACGGGAGGCUGGUAGCCGAGGAACAGUUGGCCUCCAUGAGCGCGCCCUCGGACAUUCAGGUGAGCGCCCAUGUGCGCAACCCAAGAGCUUUCUGGCGCUACCGUACCCCCGCUCAGGCUAUGCAAGCCCGAAUACCGCAUAACUUUCGAGAUCCUUCGACGGCGCCGUUAAGGAAACUCAGUGUCGACCUUAUUAAAACCUACAAACACAUAAAUGAGGUAUAUUACGCCAAAAAGAAGCGGAGAGCGCAACAGUACUUGGGUGAUGACGGCUCACACAAAAAGGAAAGGAAGCUGUACAACGACGGGUACGAUGACGAUAACCACGACUAUAUCAUCAAACAGGGAGAGAAGUUCCUAGACAGAUAUGAGAUCUCAUCUCCGAUAGGCAAGGGAUCCUUUGGUCAGGUUGUGAAAGCGUACGACCACGAGGAGCAGUGUCAAGUAGCGAUAAAAAUUAUUAAGAAUAAGAAACCUUUCCUAAACCAGGCACAAAUAGAAGUCAAGUUACUAGAAAUGAUGAAUAGGGCGGAUGCCGAAAAUAAGUAUUAUAUAGUAAAACUGAAGCGUCACUUUAUGUGGCGGAAUCACUUGUGCCUAGUGUUCGAGCUGUUGUCGUACAAUCUGUACGAUCUGUUGCGUAAUACGAACUUCAGAGGUGUGUCGUUAAACCUGACGAGGAAGUUCGCACAGCAGCUGUGUACAGCCCUGCUGUUCCUUAGUCAACCUGAACUUAAUAUAAUUCACUGUGAUCUUAAGCCUGAGAAUAUAUUAUUAUGCAAUCCGAAGAGAUCGGCCAUCAAAAUUGUGGACUUUGGUAGUUCGUGUCAACUAGGUCAACGGAUAUACCAGUACAUUCAGUCACGUUUCUACCGUUCGCCGGAGGUACUACUCGGCAUACCAUACGACCUGGCAAUAGACAUGUGGUCACUGGGUUGUAUACUGGUCGAGAUGCACACGGGCGAGCCACUGUUCAGUGGUGCCAACGAACUCGACCAGAUGAACAAGAUCGUCGAAGUGCUCGGGAUGCCGCCGGACCAGCUCCUGGAUCAGGCGCACAAGACAAGAAAGUUCUUCGACAAAUUACCGCCUUCGGAGGGGGGCGGCUACGUCCUUAAGAAGGUUGCUGGGAAGGACGGCGGUUACCGUAAGUAUCGCCCGGCCGGCACGCGGCGUCUUCACGACAUACUCGGCGUGGAGGGGGGAGGACCCGCGGCCAGGAGGAGGGGAGAGCCGGGACACUCUGUAUCAGACUACCUCAAGUUUAAGGACCUAAUCCUCCGCAUGUUGGAGUACGAUCCCAAACAACGUGUGACGCCGUACUACGCGCUGCAGCACAACUUCUUCAAGCGAACAGCUGACGAGGCGACAAACACGCAGCAGGCGCAGCAUCACCAGCACGAUGCGCCGGAGUCACGAUGACUAGAGCGGCCCGCCGGCUCGCCCCCCACACACUAGCGCUCCGCCGAGCAGCGGGCGCGCGGCUGUGGGGUGGUGCCGAGCGUAUGGAGGUCGAGGCGAGACGAGACGAGGACGUGCUGGCGGUCUGCUCGCUGGCUCACAGCCCCGUCGCCAUACACUGACGCGGCGGGACGCGGCGUGACGUGACGCGACGCGACGUGACGUGACGUGACGCGAGUGCCGGGACGGUGACCAUAUUUAUGACCGUGUAUUUUUUUAUUUAACGCGAUAAGUCUGAGUGUUCUGCGCGGGGAUGUGUUAUGUUGUAUCAGUCAGUGUAUCAUUGGUUCGUUCGUUCCGCUUCUAUCGACCGUACUUAUUGUUAGAGGGAGCCGCUCUGGGGUUCCGCCAACAUCCGGACGCAACGAUGUCGUGAAAGCUAGGUUUUUUUAUUGUUACGCAAUGCAUAUCAAGGACGCAAUAUGGUAGAAAAUAAAUAUUGUACAUAUAUAGGUGACCCACUUGUAAUGGAUACAGACUGCGAGUUAAACCGGUUAUCAUAUAUUAGUUUAGGUUACUACUGUGCUAGGUAAGCUUCGUUUCGGUUCAUUAUCGCAAGCUUUAUAUUUCCGAAGUGUCGGCAACUGAUGACUGAAUAUCAAAGGGCCGAAACAGAAUUUCGUUAUUUGAUACAACCGAAUAAUAAUAAAAAAAUAAAUAAAUAGAUUAAAAACAAUGAAAGUAUUUUUUGACCGCACCACUUGAUCGGAUUCCUCCUUACAUUGAAAUCAUUUUGUAACUUUGCCCUCGCAUUUCAGAGUUGUUGUUUGUAUAUUGUAAAUGUAUUAUUUCCGAACUCAAAUGCAUGAGAUUUGAGAUCUGUAAAUCGGGACACGUGUACUGUGUUAUAAAUAUAGGUUAUUUUUGACCCAUUGGAAUAUUCAAGACGAUGUGUAAAACAAAGAAUAGUGUGUAGGUAAUACUAUAAAAAUAAUUAAAAAAAAAACACAAAAUGUACUUGUAGGUUACGGGAUUGUUGAGACAUAUAUAAAAAAAAUUGGGUAUUUCAGAUAGGAGUUAAUAAAUUAAAAUGACUUGAACCUUUUUUGGAUUUGAAUCUACAAUAGACUAACCUCAUUGCAACAGACUGGUCGUAACUUUGUAAUGGAGAUAUUUUGUAUAGCAUACACUGAAUCACUGCCUUAUUGUGCCGGAAAUUUAUGAGCGAGGUCCGCUACCGACUCCUAGUGACGUGACUCGUACCAUGUAGUACAAAUGUAUUGCACAUAUUGUUUUGUAUUAUAUUAUUGUAUACUGUAUCGUUAUAAGAAUGCUGGGACUCGUGGGUACAAAACGGAACUGGAUCUAUAUAGUGUCUAUAAGCGUAUGUAAUAAAAUGGCUAAGAGGUUGUAUAUUAGACGUUGCUUGUAUGGCAAUUAAAUAUCGACACGUGUAAAUUUUCAAAUUAAAAAAAAAAAAGUACCCUAAUAUAGUUUUAGGGUCUUAAUGAUGGGUAGCUUUUUUAUACUCUGUUAUAGACACAGUACCUUAGUCGAAUAAAUAUAUAUAUUAUAUAUAUAUAUGAAGUCACGGUCGUCCUGUGGGUGAGUAGCGGGCCUUAGUAGGUGCGGCUGGCCCUGAAUCGAUGUGAUUUAGCAAAUUAUAUUUUUUUCAAUUGUGUACAGUUGGUGGGUCGACUGUCUAUCGCUUCAGGGUCCGGCCGCUGGUUAUGACAUUGCAACUGGAAGCAGAUUUUUUUUGUGCUGCAGAAUGUUGCCGUGAUUUUUUAUAAAAUAAACCACCCAAAACCCCCUCCCCCUCCCAACCCCCAAAAAUUAUUUUAAAUAACAAGUUUGUAUGGUACAACUACAUAUUAUCGUACAUGAAGCAUGAAAGUAUUCUAAUAAUUGUUUUUUCUUAGCUCAGUAAGCGCUAUGACUGUUUUUUGUCCAUUAUAAUUUAAUUGUAGAUUUGAAUCUAUUUCUAAUCUCUCUGGUUCUGAAAUAUAAAUUUUUCUAAUGUCUGUAUAAUAUUUACUGUAUAAAUACUUUUUUGCUUCAUGAGGUUAUAGAAUUGUUAGUUAUAUAAGAAAUAGGUAUGGGAAACACGUUUUGUUUGAUUAUAGGGAAGCGACAAAUUAUAGAGGCGGGUUUCCGAACCGAACCGUUUCUCGACGUUUCCUUCAUUGUACUUUUAUAUAGAAUAAACUUUUUCUUGUAAUGAAAAUAAAUAACUUAUUUUGGGAUUUGUUUUAAUUAAGGAAUAUAACUAAGACGAAACGCAAUAAGUAAACAAACGUGACUAUGAAACAUUAAUGAAAUGAUAAAAAUUUAAAAAAUUGUUUUGUACGACACUGUUCCAUAUAAACCAGACUGACACGUGAAAUGUAAACGCUACUGAUUUGUAAUAAUAUAUUGUGGAUCUGUCAUUUUAGAUGUGAUUUUUAGUGUUGGCGAGUCUGUGAGCCAGUUUGUAGGCCGGCCGGCGAUUGUGUGCUCACAUCGGGAACCUGCCAAAUAAUAUUUUACAUAAACGAGCCUCACAUUACCGUUAACACCGACAUAUAUCAUAACGAACCGGAAACCGUAACUCGAGCAUGGCCGCGGCCCUAGAUGUUUGCGCUUGAGUAUGUAAUAUACUAUACUAUUUAUUUGUACUGUGACAUUAUAAGGAAUGUAUGGAAUGUUUGGAAUGUGAGAAAGCUAAAUGUUUAUUUCCUAUCGAAUUGUCAGUUCGCAGGCACUGUAACAAUAAAAGGAUAGAGCUUUAUGUCACUAAGUUUUGUAUUUUAAAUCAAUAAACGAUAGCAAUGA
Molecule: RNA transcript, 5335 nt
Organism: Danaus plexippus (monarch butterfly)
Lineage: Eukaryota; Metazoa; Arthropoda; Insecta; Lepidoptera; Nymphalidae
Gene: mnb
Gene name: serine/threonine-protein kinase minibrain
Exons: 13
Source: RefSeq, a predicted model, not a curated record